GAUUCCCCUAGUAACUGCGAGUGAAGCGGGAAAAGCUCAAAUUUAAAAUCUGGCGUCUUUGGCCGUCGACUUGUAGUCUGGAGAAGUGCUUUCCCCUGGACCGUGUAUAAGUCUCUUGGAACAGAGCGUCAUAGAGGGUGAGACCGUCUUUACACGGACUACCAGUGCUUUUAUCCUCUCAAAGGUCGAGUUGUUUGGGAAUCAGCUCAAAUGGGUGGUG
This 220-nucleotide ribosomal RNA is filed under the name Lentinus tigrinus. RNAcentral's name for it is "partial large subunit ribosomal RNA". It matches the Rfam family "Eukaryotic large subunit ribosomal RNA", at positions 73 to 301 of the family's 3401-position model. The record is from RNAcentral. Lineage: Eukaryota; Fungi; Basidiomycota; Agaricomycetes; Polyporales; Polyporaceae.